This 302-nucleotide long non-coding RNA is filed under the name Setaria viridis. RNAcentral describes it as "long non-coding RNA (SVIR_LNC001112)". Lineage: Eukaryota; Viridiplantae; Streptophyta; Magnoliopsida; Poales; Poaceae. The record is from RNAcentral.
GCAAUACGAGGGGGAGGGGUAAAGAUCUAUUGGACCUAGCAUAUAUAAAGCAAUAAAAGUCUGCGAAGUCUACCAACGAACAUGAUAUGAUAACUGUGAAAAUUUAAACAGGGUAAGGGAGCCGAUGAGGACACCUAACCAGAUCUAAGCCAUUCGAUAAAUGUGAGUGCUUGAUUAAACUAAGAGAUCGAUACGAUACGACUUAAUAAAACCAAAUAACUCGAUACUCGAUAACUGUGAGAAACCAUCGAAGACAAGCAGAAUAUUGGACAAACCCUUGAAAGUUCUACUUGCAAUCUAAG